This 23-nucleotide non-coding RNA is filed under the name Arabidopsis thaliana (thale cress). The record is from RNAcentral. Lineage: Eukaryota; Viridiplantae; Streptophyta; Magnoliopsida; Brassicales; Brassicaceae.
UCAGAUGAUUCAUGUGGAUGGCC